Cyanistes caeruleus (blue tit) is the source of this 379-nucleotide long non-coding RNA. RefSeq lists it as uncharacterized. The record is from RefSeq and is a predicted model, not a curated record. Lineage: Eukaryota; Metazoa; Chordata; Aves; Passeriformes; Paridae.
UUGCGGUUAUACAACUUCUCUCCAACAAACAUUCCAAGGUUUUUUUGGAAUGUGUCUACUCUCCUUCCUGCACCUGCUCUUCUUAGCCAGCACCACAAAACUAGGUUCCUACCACAUUAAAACUUAUACUUGUGUUGCUGUGUAAGUCUGCUUUUAUGGACUACUAUCGGGGCACAAAGAUUGAAGAACCAUGGCCAGACUUAUGUGAAAGACUGACUUCAGUUAUGAGCGACAUCAGUUCUACCACUAUUAGAGGACCACCUAAGAGAAGAGACAUCCCUAUUCUGCUUGGGAAUGGGCACAUAGCCUGGAGAUCUGGAAGCUGUUAUUGGCUUCUGAGGAGUUAGCUGGGAUCUUAUAAAAGCACUGAGCCCUUCAA